GACGAACGCUGGCGGCGUGCUUAACACAUGCAAGUCGAACGAAGAGCGAUGGAAGCUUGCUUCUAUCAAUCUUAGUGGCGAACGGGUGAGUAACGCGUAAUCAACCUGCCCUUCAGAGGGGGACAACAGUCGGAAACGACUGCUAAUACCGCAUACGAUCUAAUCUCGGCAUCGAGGAUAGAUGAAAGGUGGCCUCUACAUGUAAGCUAUCACUGAAGGAGGGGAUUGCGUCUGAUUAGCUAGUUGGAGGGGUAACGGCCCACCAAGGCGAUGAUCAGUAGCCGGUCUGAGAGGAUGAACGGCCACAUUGGGACUGAGACACGGCCCAGACUCCUACGGGAGGCAGCAGUGGGGAAUCUUCCGCAAUGGACGAAAGUCUGACGGAGCAACGCCGCGUGAGUGAUGACGGCCUUCGGGUUGUAAAGCUCUGUUAAUCGGGACGAAAGGCCUUCUUGCGAAUAGUGAGAAGGAUUGACGGUACCGGAAUAGAAAGCCACGGCUAACUACGUG
This 510-nucleotide ribosomal RNA is filed under the name uncultured bacterium. Its description in RNAcentral is "partial 16S ribosomal RNA". It matches the Rfam family "Bacterial small subunit ribosomal RNA", at positions 28 to 507 of the family's 1533-position model. The record is from RNAcentral.